Molecule: ribosomal RNA, 253 nt
Filed under: uncultured bacterium
Lineage: Bacteria
Description: partial 16S ribosomal RNA
Rfam family: Bacterial small subunit ribosomal RNA
Source: RNAcentral
UACAGAGGUCUCAAGCGUUGUUCGGAAUCACUGGGCGUAAAGGGUGCGUAGGCGGCAUGGAAUGUCAGAUGUGAAAUCCGGGGGCUCAACCCCCGAAAUGCAUCCGAAACUUCCGUGCUCGAGAUUUGUAGAGGGGUCUGGAAUUCUCGGUGUAGCAGUGAAAUGCGUAGAUAUCGAGAAGAACGCUCGUGGCGAAGGCGAGACCCUGGGCAACAUCUGACGCUGAGGCACGAAGGCUAGGGGAGCAAACGGG